Molecule: ribosomal RNA, 555 nt
Filed under: uncultured bacterium
Lineage: Bacteria
Description: partial 16S ribosomal RNA
Rfam family: Bacterial small subunit ribosomal RNA
Source: RNAcentral
UGGGGAAUUUUGGACAAUGGGCGAAAGCCUGAUCCAGCAAUGCCGCGUGUGUGAAGAAGGCCUUCGGGUUGUAAAGCACUUUUGUCCGGAAAGAAAUCCUUGGCUCUAAUACAGUCGGGGGAUGACGGUACCGGAAGAAUAAGCACCGGCUAACUACGUGCCAGCAGCCGCGGUAAUACGUAGGGUGCAAGCGUUAAUCGGAAUUACUGGGCGUAAAGCGUGCGCAGGCGGUUUGCUAAGACCGAUGUGAAAUCCCCGGGCUCAACCUGGGAACUGCAUUGGUGACUGGCAGGCUAGAGUAUGGCAGAGGGGGGUAGAAUUCCACGUGUAGCAGUGAAAUGCGUAGAGAUGUGGAGGAAUACCGAUGGCGAAGGCAGCCCCCUGGGCCAAUACUGACGCUCAUGCACGAAAGCGUGGGGAGCAAACAGGAUUAGAUACCCUGGUAGUCCACGCCCUAAAACGAUGUCAACUAGUUGUUGGGGAUUCAUUUCCUAGUAACGUAGCUAACGCGUGAAGUUGACCGCCUGGGGGAGUACGGUCGCAAGAUUAAAACUC